Molecule: non-coding RNA, 3111 nt
Organism: Schizosaccharomyces pombe (fission yeast)
Lineage: Eukaryota; Fungi; Ascomycota; Schizosaccharomycetes; Schizosaccharomycetales; Schizosaccharomycetaceae
Source: the annotation of a GenBank genome assembly
AUAAACCAUUACUGUUAGGAGUAGAAGCUGGAAAAAGGCGAAAACGGUUAGAGGAGCGACACGUUAGUAGUAGAUUAUAGGAUACUUCGCAUGAUGGGGGGGUAGUCUCAAGCAAAGUAGCUUUCACGUCUACAGAUAGCGAGCAACUAGAAUUUUUGGGAAGCCAAGAUUUCGGUUUGUAGUAUAUGCGAAGGCGAAGAGCAUUAUCAUUAAAGGUUGAAAAUUGAGGAGGAAAAGGGGACCAGUGAUAAGUCUCCAUGUUAGUAGCGUCAUUCAAAGAGCGAGAAACACCUUUGUUGUAAGGAUUUAGGACUUCAGCAAUAGAUUGUGACAUUGACUCUUUGGAAACAGUAUGAUCCCAACCUAAAUGUAAGUCAGAAGAGGGACUGUCCGAUUUUAGAUUAUCAAAAGAAAGAAUCGUCUCAAAUGGUGACGGUAAAAACAUUAAAGGAAUAUACUGUUCAAACGUCACAAAGUCACGAAGCACUGGGAUGUGAAUUUCUAGCACGAUGUUUACUUUCGAGACAGUCGUUGUAUCCAGGAAUGUUAAAACGAGAUUAUUCUGAUGUAUUUGUAGCUUUAUAUCGGCGGUAUCUGAUUUUACAAACGUUUCUGGCCGAGCACAAAAAUCAUUGUCGGGAGUUUUUAAAAGGGAGGAAGAAGGAGGAGGGGAGGAACUAGGGUCAGAAGAACUACUGGAAAUGGAAAUAAUAGAUGGUUCCUUUGGUUGCUCAUCGGUAGUCGACAGAGUAGGAAAUAAUUCGUCGAAGCAAUCAACACUAAAAAAACUGGGAGAUGCAGUAAAACCGUUUUCGUCAUUUACGCGAGCGCUAAUUUGGGAAGUUUCACGCUUUAAAAAAACUGUGGAUGGGCCAUGCAGAGAAUGUAAACGGGCUCGCAGAGAACAGAUGGUGAAGGAGCAUGGAGACAAAGUUAGGAAGGGUAAAGAGAUAUUAGAUUUUUGCGCAAUGGGUAUAAUUGUGUAGUUUAAGCGAAACUGAGAAAUGAAUUUGUCGGACAAGGAGCCAUGCGCUUCAAGGCUUAAGGAAUGAAAAUCAUUGUUGGCGCUAGAAGGGGAAGGGAAAUGAGAAGACGAGGACGGUGGGGUCAUAGUGAAAAAUAAAAAAGAAGCGCAAAUCAAAUCAGCAAAUGAAUUGAAAAGCAGGUAAACGAGCACUUUAUUUCAUGUAAUGAAUGAAUAAUGAAGGAAAAAGGAAAUACUUCAUGAGCUGCAUACAAAUGGGUUUAGGAAGAAAAGAGAUGUAAAAAGAAAGAAAUGAUGUGGUACUGGAGAUCAGGCAAGACAAAGAAGCAAUCAGUAUAGCACAUGUAAACAAAGAAAGAGCCAGCAGAUGAUGGAAUGGAAACAGCAGCAAUAAACAGCCAAAAAUAAGAAAAGAAAAGGAAAAGAAAGAUUGAAUAAAAAAAAUGGGGUGUAUGCAGGGGGAAUGAAACAAAAACAAGUGGGUGAAGACGAGGCCGACCGAAGAUUGGUAGGUGGGCAGUGGGUAGAUGGAUAGUAGGCGAUAGGAAGUAACGAGAAGGUGAAACUGAAAGAAAUAGAAAAACAAUGAUUUUUUAUUUUAUUUUAUUGGUUUUUAGUUCUGGUGGUUUUUUCUCUUCUAGCUAAUCCCUUUUAAGCGUAUUUCUUUUGUUUACAUGGGCUGCAUUUACCCGAUACAAUUAUAAUAUGAACACACCUGGCCUGCUUACGACAAUGAGCAGCGAUGAUCUCGCUAUGAUUCGUUGUGUAAAAUAACGAUGUCAUUCAACAACUUUUAAUACUAUUGCAUGUUUAGCGAGGAUUAGCAGCAACAGAAAUCCUAGACAAGGACAGCGUAGUGAAAGAUUAUCGUUAUAGGGAUAGAGAGGGAUGCAAAGGGUCGUGCUGACAAAGGAUGGACGAUUUGGUUCAAUGGAAGAGAUUGUUUACUUGUACUAAGUGAAAAAAACAAAAAGCAAAGGAAAAUUCUUUUUCAAAUUUUAUACAAUGGUUGCUUAGCAAAACUUUUUUUUGUUUUCUAUCUCUCCAACGAUUCCAAUCUCGAAUCCUUACGCUUUCUUGAAUGACUCCAAUCUUUCAAAUACUUUAUCUGGUCGGGUUGUUUUAUAACUGUUGAACGAAUUGAUGAACGAUUAUUUCUUUUAUUUCUCUUUCAUCUUCUCACCCAAGCCUAUCACAUUAGCGGGAUUGCUGAAAAAUCAUGUGUUUACACUUCCACGUGCUAAUUUCCUUUCAUCCCAGCCCAUUCCAUUUAUUCCACUACAAACCUUGACCAUGUAAACAUUGAGAAACGAUUGGGUUGAAGGACAAUUGGGUUCUGUUUGUAUCAACAACAACAGUUUUUCCUCUAGUAACCAACGACCAACAAAAUGCCUGAACAUAGAACCGGUGUGAAUAAGCAAAGUUGGCGAAAUGAACAAAACAACGUUGCGCAAACCAAUAAUUGCACUUUGCUACUGUCAAGUGAUGCGCAACAUUCAUUUACUCAUCAACAUCGUUAUGAUAAGUGUAUUGCACUUUUAUCAAACAAGUUUUGCAAUUUAGUAUGCGCAUUUCAGAGAAAAUUCAUGCUAUAGCAAACUCAUGUUGAAUAACAAAAAUACGCACAAAGCAAGGCCCAUUACUUUCUUGUAACACUCUAUUUUUGGGGCCUUUACAACCCGAGAAAUAGGAUCAAUCGAUCAUCCUUCACUAGCCUUGUCACUUGCCUUCCGUGUGUAAUACCAACGGAACUCAUUCUCCGGUAGGAAUGUACUUCUGCUGCCUUCAUAGUCGCUACUGCGCAGACCGAAAAAAUCCGAAAAUUCUUUAAAUAGCGAGAGCGAGUGUAUUUGCGGAAAUAAGCUUAACAAUUGAUGAUGGAACACGGAAACUAAGCUUAAACGAAUACAGUCACUAUCGUUAUAGCGGGUCAGAAAGGUUGCAGGCAGAGAAAGUAAAUGCGUUAGACUGAGUAUAGAAAAGUAUAGUAGACAAGGCAUUUUGGACAGGCAAGGCAUGUCGGACACAUGUGUAAUAAUAAGGCAUAAACAGUUUUAAUUUUUAAGAGUAGAAUUUAUUACAAAAGGACUUUUAAGUAAUUUUCUUUUUAACCAACAAUAGGACUC